This 247-nucleotide ribosomal RNA is filed under the name uncultured bacterium. Its description in RNAcentral is "partial 16S ribosomal RNA". It matches the Rfam family "Bacterial small subunit ribosomal RNA", at positions 524 to 765 of the family's 1533-position model. The record is from RNAcentral.
UACGUAGGGUGCAAGCGUUAAUCGGAAUUACUGGGCGUAAAGCGUGCGCAGGCGGUGAUGUAAGACAGGUGUGAAAAUCCCCCGGGCUUAACCUGGGAACUGCAUUUUGUGACUGCAUCGCUGGAGUGCGGCAGAGGGGGGGAUGGAAUUCCGCGUGUAGCAGUGAAAAUGCGUAGAUAUGCGGAGGAACACCGAUGGCGAAGGCAAUCCCCCUGGGCCUGCACUGACUGAGGAGCGAAAGCUGGGG